RNAcentral lists this transfer RNA (69 nucleotides) under Platencyrtus parkeri. Its description in RNAcentral is "tRNA-Gln". The record is from RNAcentral. Lineage: Eukaryota; Metazoa; Arthropoda; Insecta; Hymenoptera; Encyrtidae.
UAUAUAUAAAUGUCACAAAACAUAUAAAUUUUUGAAAUUUAAAAUAUUAAUUUAAUUUAAUAUAUAUAA